RNAcentral lists this small RNA (159 nucleotides) under human gut metagenome. RNAcentral's name for it is "M-box riboswitch (ykoK leader)". It matches the Rfam family "M-box riboswitch aptamer (ykoK leader)". Rfam says of the family: M-box riboswitch, also know as ykoK leader is described as a metaloregulatory RNA that sense divalent metals and function as a genetic control element of genes related to divalent metal transport in bacteria. The record is from RNAcentral.
ACUACCUGUUAGGUGAGGUUACCAUACGAAUAGAAGCUAUUGCUCGGAAAUGUCGAAAGACGCCAACGAGUCAGCUGGCACUGCCGAAUUAAGGCUUUGCCUAAUAUAGCCCGGACAGUAUUGUCCUAUGUCGUACGAAGCCAAAGCUCAACGAAGGGA